RNAcentral lists this ribosomal RNA (984 nucleotides) under uncultured bacterium. RNAcentral describes it as "bacterial SSU rRNA". It matches the Rfam family "Bacterial small subunit ribosomal RNA", at positions 75 to 1061 of the family's 1533-position model. The record is from RNAcentral.
AAUAGCAAUAUUACCAUGAGAGUGGCGCACGGGUGCGUAACACGUAUGCAAUCUGCCCCUAACUGGAAGAUAGCCCGGCGAAAGUCGGAUUAAUAUUCCAUAACAUUGCGAAACGGCAUCGUUUUGUAAUUAAAGCUCCGGCGGUUAGGGAUGAGCAUGCGCGACAUUAGCUAGAUGGCGAGGUAACGGCUCACCAUGGCUACGAUGUCUAGGGGGUCUGAGAGGAUUAUCCCCCACACUGGUACUGAGACACGGACCAGACUCCUACGGGAGGCAGCAGUAGGGAAUAUUGGGCAAUGGACGCAAGUCUGACCCAGCCAUGCCGCGUGCAGGAUGACGGCCCUAUGGGUUGUAAACUGCUUUUGUACAGGAAGAAACCCCUUUACGUGUAGAGGGCUGACAUUACUGUAAGAAUAAGGAUCGGCUAACUCCGUGCCAGCAGCCGCGGUAAUACGGAGGAUCCAAGCGUUGUCCGGAUUUAUUGGGUUUAAAGGGUGCGUAGGCGGACCAUUAAGUCAGAGGUGAAAGUUUGCAGCUUAACUGUAAAAUUGCCUUUGAAACUGGUGGUCUUGAGUACAGUUGAGGUGGGCGGAAUGUGUCAUGUAGCGGUGAAAUGCUUAGAUAUGAUACAGAACACCGAUUGCGAAGGCAGCUCACUAAACUGUAACUGACGCUGAGGCACGAAAGCGUGGGGAGCGAACAGGAUUAGAUACCCUGGUAGUCCACGCCCUAAACGUUGAAUACUCGUUGUUGGCGAUAUACAGUCAGCGACUAAGCGAAAGCAUUAAGUAUUCCACCUGGGGAGUACGACCGCAAGGUUGAAACUCAAAGGAAUUGACGGGGGCCCGCACAAGCGGAGGAGUAUGUGGUUUAAUUCGAUGAUACGCGAGGAACCUUACCUGGGCUUGAAAGUUAGCGACCGCUGCCGAAAGGUGGCUUUCCUUCGGGGCGCGAAACUAGGUGCUGCAUGGCUGUCGUCAGCUC